RNAcentral lists this transfer RNA (57 nucleotides) under Bos taurus (domestic cattle). It matches the Rfam family "tRNA", at positions 8 to 63 of the family's 71-position model. Rfam says of the family: Transfer RNA (tRNA) molecules are approximately 80 nucleotides in length. Lineage: Eukaryota; Metazoa; Chordata; Mammalia; Artiodactyla; Bovidae. RNAcentral also lists the same sequence under 5 other names. The record is from Rfam by way of RNAcentral.
UGGCUCAGAUGGUAAAGAACCUGCCUGAAAUGCAGGAGACCUAGGUUCAAUCCCUAG